AUACUCCUACGGGAGGCAGCAGUGGGGAAUUUUGGACAAUGGGCGCAAGCCUGAUCCAGCAAUGCCGCGUGCAGGAUGAAGGCCUUCGGGUUGUAAACUGCUUUUGUACGGAACGAAAAAGCUCUCUCUAAUACAGGGGGUGAAUGACGGUACCGUAAGAAUAAGCACCGGCUAACUACGUGCCAGCAGCCGCGGUA
RNAcentral lists this ribosomal RNA (197 nucleotides) under uncultured bacterium. RNAcentral's name for it is "partial 16S ribosomal RNA". It matches the Rfam family "Bacterial small subunit ribosomal RNA", at positions 333 to 522 of the family's 1533-position model. The record is from RNAcentral.